Choiromyces venosus 120613-1 is the source of this 94-nucleotide non-coding RNA. The record is from the annotation of a GenBank genome assembly. NCBI's taxonomy places the organism in Eukaryota, Fungi, Ascomycota, Pezizomycetes, Pezizales, Tuberaceae.
GGUUCCAUUGCUCAGUUGGUUAGCGCGUGGUGCUAACAUUACCGGUAUUUAAAUGUUAACGCUAAGGUCGAGGGUUCGAUCCCCUCUGGAACCA